RNAcentral lists this ribosomal RNA (253 nucleotides) under uncultured bacterium. Its description in RNAcentral is "partial 16S ribosomal RNA". It matches the Rfam family "Bacterial small subunit ribosomal RNA", at positions 524 to 776 of the family's 1533-position model. The record is from RNAcentral.
UACGAAGGGGGCUAGCGUUAUUCGGAAUGAUUGGGCGUAAAGGACACGUAGGCGGUUUUGUAAGUUUUGUGUGAAAUCCCUGGGCUUAACCCAGGAAUUGCGCGAAAUACUGCAUGACUUGAGUAUGGGGGAGGAUAGUGGAAUCUUUGGUGUAGAGGUGAAAUUCUUAGAUAUCAGAGAGAACGUCGGAGGCGAAAGCGACUAUCUAAAACAUUACUGACGCUGAGGUGUGAAGGCGUGGGGAGCAAAUCGG